AACCUCCCAGGAUUGUGUCUGGAGAGUGGCUAAUAUUCUGCCAGCUUCGUAGACAGCAGGGAAAGCAAGCCUGGCAGAGGUCCCCAUUCCAUUCCCCACUUGCUCCGUAGCUGGUAAUUGGAAGACACUCUGCAACACUG
Small nucleolar RNA from Myotis lucifugus (little brown bat), 140 nucleotides. The record is from Ensembl. Lineage: Eukaryota; Metazoa; Chordata; Mammalia; Chiroptera; Vespertilionidae.